AGCCGAAACGCCCUUCCCGGGCGUCUGCCGGAGACCGCCUCUCGGCACUGAUGAUGGCAGGCAAAA
RNAcentral lists this non-coding RNA (66 nucleotides) under Clostridiaceae bacterium. Lineage: Bacteria; Bacillati; Bacillota; Clostridia; Eubacteriales; Clostridiaceae. The record is from RNAcentral.